Molecule: long non-coding RNA, 555 nt
Filed under: Gallus gallus (chicken)
Lineage: Eukaryota; Metazoa; Chordata; Aves; Galliformes; Phasianidae
Description: long non-coding RNA NONGGAT002904
Source: RNAcentral
GCCGGGAGAGGGGGCUCCCAGCGCGGAGCCGUGUCUGCACCCCGGGCCGGGAUGUUGUUCAUCUUCCAGCCUCCCCUCCAGAGCUUAGAACCGAAUUCUCCUCCCCCGAUUCUGCAUUUGGGUUCCCUCGGCUUUAGAGACUGCGCCCGGGGGGCGCACACGAUCCCAUUGCUUUUUGGUGACUCCACACGCUCGAACGGCUGUGUCUGCUUAUAGAAAAACAAGGCUGCUGUUGACAGAAAACAGAGCAUGUAUGUUUAAGGGUUGAAGAAUGGAAAUGGAGAAUAUGCAGUCCUGUGAGUGAAGAACAGAGGCUUUAAUCUAAACUCUUAUUCUGAUUUGUUGUUUGACCUUAGGCAAGCUUCUGCAAGUUUGCCAUAUUAAUACUACUUAAGUCACAGAAGGCAGUUAUACUUGUGUAGUGCUGACUUAGAUUAAGAUCACAAAUCAACAUGAAUGUAGGAAGAAAAAUAUGAAAAUGUGCUGUGUUUUUUUUAAGGUAUUAAAGUACCUUCGUAGCUUUUCUGUUUCUUAAUUCUGUGGUGUGUGCAGCAG